AUUGAACGCUGGCGGCAGGCCUAACACAUGCAAGUCGAACGGUAACAGGAAGAAGCUUGCUUCUUUGCUGACGAGUGGCGGGCGGGUGAGUAAUGUCUGGGAAACUGCCUGAUGGAGGGGGAUAACUACUGGAAACGGUAGCUAAUACCGCAUAACGUCGCAAGACCAAAGAGGGGGGCCUUCGGGCCUCUUGCCCUCGGAUGUGCCCAGAUGGGAUUAGCUAGUAGGUGGGGUAACGGCUCACCUAGGCGACGAUGCCUAGCUGGUCUGAGAGGAUGACCGGCCACACUGGAACUGAGACACGGUCCAGACUCCUACGGGAGGCAGCAGUGGGGAAUAUUGCACAAUGGGCGCAAGCCUGAUGCAGCCAUGCCGCGUGUAUGAAGAAGGCCUUCGGAUUGUAAAGUACUUUCAGCGGGGAGGAAGGGGGUAAAGUUAAUACCUUUGCUCAUUGACGGUACCCGAAGAAGAAGCACCGGCUAACUACGUG
RNAcentral lists this ribosomal RNA (490 nucleotides) under uncultured bacterium. RNAcentral's name for it is "partial 16S ribosomal RNA". It matches the Rfam family "Bacterial small subunit ribosomal RNA", at positions 30 to 507 of the family's 1533-position model. The record is from RNAcentral.